UAGAGCAACUUGCACAGCAGCCUGGGCCUUUUGCAGAGCCUUCUCCUGUUCUGGACCCUUCUCAAAACCUGCAGUCUUUCAGGUUACUCAAUAAAUGGGUCGGAGUAACACACCCGGUAUAUUGAUAUAUUGCUGGCCUUCUCAGCUGAAGGUAAAUUGCUUCUGGUGGGCCUUAUGGACAGGAAUGAAGAAAAAGGCAUUUGCCAAAUCAAUGGCUGCAUACCAGGUACAAUUGGAGUCACUACUUGGUUAAACUUAUGAUAAUUCACUGUCAUUCUCCAAGAUCCAUCUGUCUUCUGCACAGGAAAAUAGGAGAGUUGAAUGGGGAUGUGGUGGGAAUCACCACCCCUGCGUCUUUCAAGUCUUUGAUGGUGGCGCUAAUCUCCACAAUCUCUCCAGAGGGAAUCUCGCUCUGUCGCCCAGGCUGGAGUGCAGUGGCAUGAUCUCCGCUCACUGCAAGGUCCGCCUCCUGGGUUCACGCCAUUCUCCUGCCUCAACCUCCCGAGUAGCUGGUACUACAGGUGCCCGCCAGCAUUACCUCAUUCUAAGCCCAUAAAAACUAUGGACUCAGCCGCACAGUUGGCUACUAGUUCUGGAGUCCUCUCUCCACUGAGAGCUUUCUUUCUGUCACUCGGUAAAAUUCUUUUCUGCCUUACUCACUCUCUGGUGUCCACGCACCUUAUUCCUCUUGGUUGAAGGUUACAAACCCAGAACCCAGCAAGCUGCUGGUGGCAGAAGUAAAAAUGCUGUACCACGCUCUUGCUUGCUAAACUGUGAGAGUCAAAAAAGCCUCUUAGUGCCACACACUUCUGCUCGCCAAGCUGCGAGUGGUGGGAAUAAAAGGGCUUGUAACACACUCCCACUAACUGAGCUUUAGGAGUGAAGAGCUGUGACAUUUUUGGGGAGCUCAGACCUCGAGAAUCCCCAAGCAAGAGCUGUAACACCCCUUGGGGCUCCGCAAUUGCUGGCCUUUCUGAGUUUUUGGGUGCCACAGCGUUCCCCUCAUCUGGACGUCAGCGCCCGAUGCUGAAGCCGCUCACAGCAUGCCAGGUCCAACAAUGGGCUGAGCGUGGAGCCACAGUGGGUAUGGGAUCCAGACCAGGGCACAAGCCAAGCACAGCCUGCUGGGUCAAGUGGGCAGAGCAAGUCCAGUGGGCCCAAGUGAGGCCCAGACAGAGGUGACGGCCACAGAGAUUUCUGGCUGGUCAAACGGUACUGAAGGAAUCCUGUAACAAGGGGCCAUGAUGUAUAUGUAUGCAUAGGUUUUGUGAGUAAACCUAAAUAAUUUUCAAGAAGCUUGUUCAGCCUGUACCAAUUUACAUGUGAAAUGACAAUGGAUGAAAGUUAAAUUUUUCAUAUUAUUGCCAUUUCUUGGUAUUUAUUUUUUGUUUUGUUUUGUUUUCAUGGACACAUAUUGUGAUGCCA
This 1425-nucleotide long non-coding RNA is filed under the name Homo sapiens (human). RNAcentral's name for it is "HSALNT0315096". The record is from RNAcentral. Lineage: Eukaryota; Metazoa; Chordata; Mammalia; Primates; Hominidae.